Molecule: ribosomal RNA, 497 nt
Filed under: uncultured bacterium
Lineage: Bacteria
Description: partial 16S ribosomal RNA
Rfam family: Bacterial small subunit ribosomal RNA
Source: RNAcentral
GACGAACGCUGGCGGCGUGCCUAAUACAUGCAAGUUGAGCGCUGAAGGUUGGUACUUGUACCAACUGGAUGAGCAGCGAACGGGUGAGUAACGCGUGGGGAAUCUGCCUUUGAGCGGGGGACAACAUUUGGAAACGAAUGCUAAUACCGCAUAAAAACUUUAAACACAAGUUUUAAGUUUGAAAGAUGCAAUUGCAUCACUCAAAGAUGAUCCCGCGUUGUAUUAGCUGGUUGGUGAGGUAAAGGCUCACCAAGGCGAUGAUACAUAGCCGACCUGAGAGGGUGAUCGGCCACAUUGGGACUGAGACACGGCCCAAACGCCUACGGGAGGCAGCAGUAGGGAAUCUUCGGCAAUGGACGAAAGUCUGACCGAGCAACGCCGCGUGAGUGAAGAAGGGUUUCGGAUCGUAAAACUCUGUUGGUAGAGAAGAGCGUUGGUGAGAGUGGAAAGCUCAUCAAGUGACGGUAACUACCCAGAAAGGGACGGCUAACUACGUG